This 223-nucleotide long non-coding RNA is filed under the name Capra hircus (goat). Its description in RNAcentral is "lncRNA (ENSCHIG00000007098.1)". Lineage: Eukaryota; Metazoa; Chordata; Mammalia; Artiodactyla; Bovidae. The record is from RNAcentral.
CAAAGAGUCUGACACGACUGAGCGACUGAACUGAACUGAACUGAACAUAACAUUAUGGAUAUGAAUCAUCUACCUUGGAAAUAGGGAUUGUUAACCAGAUCUGUCAACUGGGCCUAUGCAUACCCAGUCAGCUCCCCACUGCCUUCCCUACGUUUCCCUGGCAGUGAGUAAGAGAACCACCAACUUAAAAAUCCAUGCUUUGGAAUUCCAUGAACUCCUGUAA